GCUUAAAAAGCUUCAGUGCACUUGAUGAGUGUAACAUAUUUGGAUUAUCAUAUUCAACAAAAAAUAUGAAUGUAUUUUCUCUCGUUAUAUUAUCGUUAGUAUGCACCUUAAAAUGAUUUACUUUGGAUUUACUAUAUCAUAAUAAAUUUAUUAUUUUGCUACCCUUUAUUGUUGCGGACGUACACAUACAUGUAUCUACUAUUUGAGUAAGAGGCAACACUCAUCAUAAUUAUUGAUUACAUUCUUAAUAUUUCAUCUCAAUAUAUCAUACAUACACAUUGACAUGGCCUAGAAGUGGCAUACAUUAUCUGGAUCUUGUAUACGAUGUAGAUAACGAACUAUGAAACAGAGAGUUGCAUCAGGUUGUAUACUAUAGUUUUGUUCCCUGUUUCUCAAAGCCCUUUACCAUAUGAGAAGUUUAUCCUGUAGUCAUACACUAUUUGUAUGCAUUUACCUUUAACGUUUAUUAAGUUCUUAUUAUAUAUUCUAUGGCUUGGAAUAACACUUCAAGCAUAUGUUCGGAUCUUGGCUACAAGUUAACUCAUUUUCACGUAUGCAUUUUAAUUAUGUACAGCUCAUGUUAUAUAUAUUUGCUUUAUGAUUAAUGGUUCAUAUACGCAUGACCAUUCACAAUUAUAUUUUAUACUUUCUCCCUGAUGUCACACACAACAUUAUUCACCUCAUUUAUCACAACUAUAGAGAAAGGUAUAAUAGACAUGUAAGUAUGUAAUGAGGAGUGAUAAAGACAAACAAAUCUACAGCAUCAUCUUUUCUCAACACAUGCAUUGACCUUAUCCAUUUAAUUUUGUCUUGGACAAUUAAAUAUUGCAUUACAGAUGGGGAAAGGUUAAGGAGUACAGAUCUACGACGAUAAAAUACGGUGAACAAAUGUUGAUAUUUCUAGCUUAUGAAAAUCACCUGUAUUGUCUCUCUGUGUUUUCUGCAAUUACAACAAUGAGUAUAUAGGAAAAGAAGUUGUGUGGAUGGAAAUUGAUAAUAAUCGUCCCAGUCAUGCAAUAUAUAUAUUGAUAUUUAUAUUUAUGUAGCUUGAUUAACUAUGAUAAUGUUUUAUAGUUUAAUGAUGUAUGCUAUUUAUACAUUGUUUUGAACAGUAUUUUAUUUAUUUUCAUAUUUCGACUACGGAGAAAAACGUUUGGUGCUCACAUAACUUACCAGAUCUGCGAUACUAAUGACGAGUUUACUUGAAACAAAGAACUAACACCAAUUGAAAAUGUUUAGUCUAGACACAGAGUUAAUUUUAAUGGAAC
RNAcentral lists this long non-coding RNA (1268 nucleotides) under Mytilus galloprovincialis (Mediterranean mussel). Lineage: Eukaryota; Metazoa; Mollusca; Bivalvia; Mytilida; Mytilidae. The record is from RNAcentral.